GAGACAACAUGGGUCCUUCUCGUAAGAAUGUGUUUCACAUUGUCUCUUUGCUCUGGUAAGUAUAGAUCAGUUGAAUCCCUUUCGGACAGAUGGAAAACAAGUUAGUGCUGAAAAUACACUUCAUCUUUCUUUAGUUUUGGUGUGUUUGUUUGAUAAAAUCUGAAAUCUGUGUGUUUUGUGUUUGUGUCUUAGGACCGUAUGGUUUGACAUGUGAUUUUGCCGUAAUCUCUCUAACUUUAAGAGAACCUAGAAUUAUUUUGCCGUAAGCAGAAUUCUAGCAGCAUCCUCUCUCCUCAAGCACAAGGCUUUUACUAUAGAGGUUAGUAUGAGAAAUUGCAGGUUUGGUUUAAGACUGAUCUAUCUAACUUUAAGAGAACCUAGACUUACCACUAUGAUGUUAUAUAGAAGUCAUGAUUUCUAGGCAUGGCCCAUAGAUUUGGUUGAAAGCUUGUAUUACUCAAGUAGUUCUUGUUUCUUGUUCUUUUCUUUAUCCAGAUUGGAUACGGUA
RNAcentral lists this long non-coding RNA (508 nucleotides) under Arabidopsis lyrata. RNAcentral describes it as "long non-coding RNA (ALYR_LNC002002)". Lineage: Eukaryota; Viridiplantae; Streptophyta; Magnoliopsida; Brassicales; Brassicaceae. The record is from RNAcentral.